Molecule: ribosomal RNA, 515 nt
Filed under: uncultured bacterium
Lineage: Bacteria
Description: partial 16S ribosomal RNA
Rfam family: Bacterial small subunit ribosomal RNA
Source: RNAcentral
GACGAACGCUGGCGGCGUGCCUAAUACAUGCAAGUCGAGCGAAUGGAUUAAGAGCUUGCUCUUAUGAAGUUAGCGGCGGACGGGUGAGUAACACGUGGGUAACCUGCCCAUAAGACUGGGAUAACUCCGGGAAACCGGGGCUAAUACCGGAUAACAAUUUGAACCGCAUGGUUCGAAAUUGAAAGGCGGCUUCGGCUGUCACUUAUGGAUGGACCCGCGUCGCAUUAGCUAGUUGGUGAGGUAACGGCUCACCAAGGCAACGAUGCGUAGCCGACCUGAGAGGGUGAUCGGCCACACUGGGACUGAGACACGGCCCAGACUCCUGCGGGAGGCAGCAGUAGGGAAUCUUCCGCAAUGGACGAAAGUCUGACGGAGCAACGCCGCGUGAGUGAUGAAGGCUUUCGGGUCGUAAAACUCUGUUGUUAGGGAAGAACAAGUGCUAGUUGAAUAAGCUGGCACCUUGACGGUACCUAACCAGAAAGCCACGGCUAACUACGUGCCAGCCGCCGCAGUAA